Molecule: ribosomal RNA, 253 nt
Filed under: uncultured bacterium
Lineage: Bacteria
Description: partial 16S ribosomal RNA
Rfam family: Bacterial small subunit ribosomal RNA
Source: RNAcentral
UACGUAGGGGGCAAGCGUUGUCCGGAUUUAUUGGGCGUAAGGAGCGUGUAGGCGGUUUGGUAGGUCCGCUGUGAAAACUCGAGGCUCAACCUCGAGACGCCGGUGGAAACCAUCAGACUAGAGUCCGGAAGAGGAGAGUGGAAUUCCUGGUGUAACGGUGAAAUGCGCAGAUAUCAGGAAGAACACCCGUGGCUAAGGCGGCUCUCUAGUACGGUACUGACGCUGAGACGCGAAAGCGUGGGGAGCGAACAGG